GUCUCACGAAAUGUUGAAUCCUCCAGUUUGUUCCACACCAAAGCCUCAGAGCUUCCUGGGACAGCUGCUGCCAGUGCCUGUCUUACCAGGCGUCUCUCACGGGUGCCAGGCUGGCUCUGAACUACAACCUCUAAACACAGGGUCUACCUCACUCCCCUCUGGAUCCCGUGACUCUGGAACCUGACCUGGGAAAUUUGCUACGGAGCUGGAGGUGUGGCACACAGCCAGGAGGAGCAGCCAAAGGAGACGUGAGGAGCAGGGGCUGCCAUUGUAGCACUGGGCCAAUAAGGGAGGAAGUGAGCUUUGACCAGAAGGCCAACUUGGUAGUGAUUGCUUCGUGGUGUCUGUGGGAGGCAAGAUGAGAACGAACUUUAGCAUCCGACUUUAAAAGUCUCCCACGUAGGAACAGCUCGGCCUGACCAGCUCUGAAGGCCACCCCACCCUCAACCCUUCAUUGUCUUUGAGCCCUACAUGGAGGAGAGGAGAAAACACUGGUUAUCAAGUUCCCAGGAAGGGACCUGCGCAGAACUUCAGACUUCAGGGGCUCCUCUCUCUAAAGCCAUUAUGUAGAUGACGAAGUCUUUGAUGACGAUUCUUCCCCCUGGGCAUUCAAACUCCAUCUGACCGAGGUCCUGCGGGCCUGUGGCUCCAGGGAGAUCGAGGGCAACAUGGACGGCCAAGGUCUCAGCAUGGUGAGGGUAUCCUGUGCCAAUCUUCCACACCAGCACCGCUGGUGAAGACAGAUUCCAGGGUGAAGUAUUUUACCUACAAACUUUUGCAUGUGUGGUGCUGAGGGUCAUGCUGCAUACACACAUGUACUACCAACCAACUACAUCUUCAAAAUAGUAAGAGAAACACUGAGCGAUCUAUCACCCUCAGAUCUUAGGAAAUGAUAUAUUGAUUUUAUUUACUGGUAGGGUGUUCGUUAUCCA
This 932-nucleotide long non-coding RNA is filed under the name Rattus norvegicus (Norway rat). Its description in RNAcentral is "long non-coding RNA NONRATT032920". The record is from RNAcentral. Lineage: Eukaryota; Metazoa; Chordata; Mammalia; Rodentia; Muridae.